UGGGGAAUUUUGGACAAUGGGCGCAAGCCUGAUCCAGCCAUGCCGCGUGCGGGAAGAAGGCCUUCGGGUUGUAAACCGCUUUUGUCAGGGAAGAAAUCUUCUGAGUUAAUACCUCGGGAGGAUGACGGUACCUGAAGAAUAAGCACCGGCUAACUACGUGCCAGCAGCCGCGGUAAUACGUAGGGUGCAAGCGUUAAUCGGAAUUACUGGGCGUAAAGCGUGCGCAGGCGGUUUUGUAAGACAGAGGUGAAAUCCCCGGGCUCAACCUGGGAACUGCCUUUGUGACUGCAAGGCUUGAGUGCGGCAGAGGGGGCAUGGAAUUCCGCGUGUAGCAGUGAAAUGCGUAGAUAUGCGGAGGAACACCGAUGGCGAAGGCAAUCCCCUGGGCCUGCACUGACGCUCAUGCACGAAAGCGUGGGGAGCAAACAGGAUUAGAUACCCCUGGUAGUCCACGCCCUAAACGAUGUCAACUGGUUGUU
This 479-nucleotide ribosomal RNA is filed under the name uncultured bacterium. Its description in RNAcentral is "partial 16S ribosomal RNA". It matches the Rfam family "Bacterial small subunit ribosomal RNA", at positions 355 to 824 of the family's 1533-position model. The record is from RNAcentral.